AUGUUGCUGUCUCCUACUGUAGGUGAUGCUCGUCCCACCCUGACGGUGCUGCCUCCCUCCAGGGAGGAGCUGCAGCAGGAGAAGGUCACGCUCACGUGUCUGGCCAACAAGGGCUUCCCCUCAGACUGGACUCUGUCCUGGAAGCUGGACGGCAGCGGCAGCAUCAGCAGCUCUGACCAGAGCAGGAGCCCUGGGGUUCUGGAGAAGGACGGACUCUACAGCUGGAGCAGCACCAUGAGGAUCCCUGCAGACCAGUGGACCAAGGUGAACUCUGUGACCUGUGAGGCCUCCCAGGGCUCCCAGUCUCCAGUCAGAGAGACGCUGAGCACAGACCAGUGCUCCCAGUUCUGAACUGUGUUUCAUUUGUUCUCUGGUUCUGCUUUUGUUCUCAGUCUUUGUUUCUACCUUUUCAGAAAUAA
Betta splendens (Siamese fighting fish) is the source of this 419-nucleotide non-coding RNA. The record is from the annotation of a RefSeq genome assembly. Lineage: Eukaryota; Metazoa; Chordata; Actinopteri; Anabantiformes; Osphronemidae.